Molecule: ribosomal RNA, 253 nt
Filed under: uncultured bacterium
Lineage: Bacteria
Description: partial 16S ribosomal RNA
Rfam family: Bacterial small subunit ribosomal RNA
Source: RNAcentral
UACGUAGGUGGCAAGCGUUGUCCGGAUUUAUUGGGCGUAAAGAGCGUGUAGGCGGCCAUACAGGUCCGUUGUGAAAACUGGAGGCUUAACCUCCAGACGUCGAUGGAAACCGUAUGGCUAGAGUCCGGAAGAGGAGAGUGGAAUUCCUGGUGUAGCGGUGAAAUGCGCAGAUAUCAGGAAGAACACCCGUGGCUAAGGCGGCUCUCUAGUACGGUACUGACGCUGAGACGCGAAAGCGUGGGGAGCAAACAGG